Molecule: long non-coding RNA, 448 nt
Organism: Talpa occidentalis (Iberian mole)
Lineage: Eukaryota; Metazoa; Chordata; Mammalia; Eulipotyphla; Talpidae
Exons: 3
Source: RefSeq, a predicted model, not a curated record
CAGGCCAGGACUCGCAGCAAAGGACGCGGCGUGGCACAGCUCCAGGAGCACCUCUGCACCCGGCCUCCUCAGCUUCCACACCUGAGCUGGCACCCACCUGUACCCAUCUGGGUGGACCGUCCAGGCCGUGGCUAAGGACACGGGUGACACCGCUCUUUUCCCUCCGAAGAGCUGGGUACUAGAGGGACCGUACAGCGAGCUGCUCCCAGGCGACUCCAGCCCUGCAUACUUCUCUGUCGCAUCUUUCUGGAGGUGGAAGUCCAAGGUCACAGCAUUUGCAGUGUGAAGAACGUAGGAGCAGACUUGCGACAGAAGAGCUGCUUCCACAUUCUAAAAGUGGGUGAGCCUUGUGCCCCAACGCCAUGCUGUGUGUUUUCAUUCACAAGAACAUGAAAGCUUACAUCUUCGUCCAUUUGCCUUUUCAUUAUUAAAAAGUGUAUGCAUAUGA